AAAACAGGUUUAGACAAAGAUUGGAAUGUGUUUUGAUCCUGGUUUAAAGGUUUAAGGUUUUAUUUGGUUGGUUAGGAGCAUCACAGCCCUUUAACUGCAUCAAGUCAGGAUUCUUAACUUUUAACAAAUAAUAACUUUGUAAAGAAAGUUACAAUGCUCAAUUAAAAUAAUCAUCAAAAAAAUCAAUUUAAUCAUGUUUAGCAUUUAAAACAAAACAAAAGAGUGAAACUCAAAAUUAACUUUGCAGAGAAAAUUGUUAUUGCGUUUAAGAUGACAUGGUUAGAAGCACAUGUCCACUUGGGCCCUCAAUACUAAACGGGUAGUGCUGCACUUCCUUCCAGGAAAGGAAAUGAAAAGAAAAAAUCUGUCAGGUUUCAGGAAUUAUUGACUUGGAUUGUGAUUGAUGUCACUUGUCACUGGGCCAUGUUAAAGGCAUCUCCAUUUACCAUCAGCAGCUUUACUGCAGAGAAAAGACAACACAUCUGGACUAAAAACCACUGAAAAGUUCAAGUUCUUUCUUACGGUCACUCCAAUUAAACAUAAUGAAGUGGAAAUACAUGUCUCCUGAUUCAGGGACAAACAUAAUAUAAGGACGGUGCUGAAAUAAUUAAGUUUGAGGCGAAAAUCAACUAUAACAUAAGAAACAUUCAUUAUAAGUGAGAUAUAAAUGCAUGUUUAAAGGGCGGGGCUCAGAAAAUGCAGGGCAUUAUAGGGCUAAGUAAGCAUAAACCCAUCAAGCUGGUUCCUGGGUCAGCAGAAGUCUCCACAAUAUUACCAGAAGUAAACACAAGGCUGGGUCACCUGGGAGAGGGUCUCUUGACACCAGAAAUACCUGGAGAUCCCAGAACACAUCACUUGUGAUAUGUUUUAAUCCUCAAAUAGCACUGUAAAUAAAGACAUUCUGAAUAUGUUGAGAAACUAACCCCUCUCCUAUGCCUAGUUGAGUCAAAUUAAGAGGUCCUCUAAAUUAUUUUUUUUAAAGAUUUGGUUUGCAGCACUAGAUGCCUUUAUUUUGUUUGAAAGUAGGCAGACAGGAAAUGGGGUGAAGAGAGGGGUAAGACAUGCAGCACAGGUCGCUGGGACCAGGACUCGAAACAAGGGAUGGGCAGCGCCAAAGCUUCUCCAUACAUGGGCUGCGCGCUUUACCGCUGCACCAGUGCCUUGCCCCAGCAGCCGUACAACUUCUUGAAUAAAGCUGGUUUACAUUCUGGUUAUUCUCGAUUUAACUAGGCAUUAUUGCCUUCUAGAUGGCUGGAGCGUAUGAUAAUUGGCAGGGUGUAAGGGGUCUCUCAUGGUUUUUUUUCUUGCAUCUCUUGUUGAAUAAAUUCUAUAAGAAGAGUCAGGCCACAGUGACCCAAACCUUUCUUACCACAUCUUCAAUAGGUUUCCUGUCACCUAAAGAAGCCAAAGUCCACUUAGCAAAACAAGAAAACUGGACUACCUAAAAGUGUAACGGCAAUCUGCAGUUCAGAGGCACCCAGGAAACCGCCAGCUGGGCAGUGAUUGCAGCAGCGAUGGCUCUAUGGAGGACAGCUGAUUUGCCUACAAGAAGAGAACACAUUUGAGGUGCAUCACCAGCCUAAUUUAAAAGAUUGGGUCAGCUCCACCCCGCCACUGGUGAGCUGUCAACAGGUGCCACUAAUUUACAAAUGGAAGAUGACAGAAAUGCUGUACCUGUUGGCUGAUCUGAGGUCUCAGAGCUCUCUCGGGGCAACUUCUCCACCAGGAACAUAAGCAGCGAGCGAAUCUCUGGCUCGUUACUGUAUAGAAAAGUCUGGUAACCAAUCUCUCCUUUAUAGCCAAUGUCC
Girardinichthys multiradiatus is the source of this 1808-nucleotide long non-coding RNA. RefSeq lists it as uncharacterized. The record is from RefSeq and is a predicted model, not a curated record. The transcript is spliced from 4 exons. NCBI's taxonomy places the organism in Eukaryota, Metazoa, Chordata, Actinopteri, Cyprinodontiformes, Goodeidae.